Molecule: long non-coding RNA, 1534 nt
Filed under: Mus musculus (house mouse)
Lineage: Eukaryota; Metazoa; Chordata; Mammalia; Rodentia; Muridae
Description: predicted gene, 20559
Source: RNAcentral
CAGUUUAAGCUGGUGUUAAAGUAGACAAGCAGACUGGUUAAGACCACCAAGACUAAAUGAAGUUGUUUGUCACAGACAUCUUAGGAGGAAGAGAAUACAGAUACCAGACAUUUUCUUUACUAAAAUGGACAGUUUUUUUUUCUUUCUUUUUUUCCUUUUAAAAGAUUUUUUAUAUAGAAGAAAUCUGAAAAUUUGGAGGCAGCACCGGCUUUUUUUAAAUGAAGAAUGGUGUAUAUGAACUGAGUCUGUCUGCAUGAUGCAGCUCUGAUUUCUUGGAAUAGAAACCCUAACUAAGACACAUCCCUAAGCAGAAACUACUGCGGGUGAAGAAAAUCUACUUUGGGUCCCAAUGCGACUGAAAAGGACUGUGAAAGAACAAUAUGAACCCCAAGAUGAUUCUCUUACUCCUGAUGAUUGAGACCGGGAUAAGUAUACCCUUGUAGGCCAAAGUCUAUCGAAUUAUCUGAAAGGGGAACUGGUCGCAGAAGCUGGAAAGGUUGCAGACGAAGCUACAGAUACAGAUCCUGAACCUUAUUGGAACCAGAGUGGAACCAGUGACCCUUGGAGACUUCACCUCUUGACUUACCUCUGCAUUUUUCUCACUUCAAAGAAUGGGUGGGGGUGGCUCUGUUUAGCGCAGCCCUGUGUUGUGGAUUAGUGCUUAUACUAUGACUGGUUUGCAAACUCAGAUCUCAGCAGAAACGUGACAAGGUGGUAAUUGCUCAAGCACUUGCUGCCAUAGAGCAAGGCACCUCCCCUGAAAUUUGGCUAUCUAUUCUCAAGAAUUAGUUGGCAUUUGAGUUCUCUGCCUUUGCAUUCCACGAAUUUGUGGAUACAUUGCAUUGAGAUGAGAGAAACUCAACGAUCAUUGAUCAACCCGUGUGCAUUGCUGAGGUUUCCUCAUUGCAUGUGAUAGAAUGACCAUGAUUUCCCCACUAAUUUAUUUUUGGCUGGCCUCUUCUGUAGAGUUCACCCUAGGCCAUUUAGCAGUUGUAGUCACACAGCACUGUGGUAUCCAGAGACGGGCAACUUUCCUCGUGCACAGACCAACCUAAGACAAUGGGGCCCGGUGGUGAUAGGGUUACCCGAUAACGGGUAAGGCUGUGACAUUGGAGGAACGACCUAAAACAGGGGCCACAGCAGAUGGACGUAACUACAGAGGCCUAGACCAGCCUCAUUUUUAUUAAAACAUAAAGGGGGAGAUGUGGAGAGCCGCAAUAACAUUUACCAUCUUAAGAUGGCGCUGGCUCCGCAGUGCCUUAUGCCACCUAAACAAAGAACAAGCUAUAUGUGCAUCUGCUAAAAGCAAAAACCCACCAAAAGUCACCAGCCCAUUUCCAGGGCACCGGUCCAUCCCCCAGGGCACUAGCCCAACCCCUGGGGCGUUUAGCCUAUCCCUAGGGUGCAUGAGAUUUGUGGGUGUAGCUACCAGUCCUAGUUUAGACACGUCACCAAAAAGUAUUUAAGCCACACACUUUCUGAGCCUUCUUUGUCUACCUCAAUAUGUUAUGAAGUAAAGUUAACCAUGAAAGAA